AUCCAGAUAACAUGUCCAAAAUAGGACGAAAUGCGCAUCCUGAAU
RNAcentral lists this non-coding RNA (45 nucleotides) under Schistosoma mansoni. The record is from RNAcentral. Lineage: Eukaryota; Metazoa; Platyhelminthes; Trematoda; Strigeidida; Schistosomatidae.